CAGGGAUUUAGAUACCGUGAGUAGUCCCAUCGCCCGUAAACGAUGAGUGCUAAGUGUUGGAGGGUUUCCGCCCUUCCAGUGCUGCAGCAAACGCAUUAAGCACUCCGCCUGGGGAGUACGACCGCAAGGUUGAAACUCAAAGGAAUUGACGGGGGCCCGCACAAGCGGUGGAGCAUGUGGUUUAAUUCGAAGCAACGCGAAGAACCUUACCAGGUCUUGACAUCCUUUGACCACUCUAGAGAUAGAGCUUUCCCUUCGGGGACAAAGUGACAGGUGGUGCAUGGUUGUCGUCAGCUCGUGUCGUGAGAUGUUGGGUUAAGUCCCGCAACGAGCGCAACCCUUAUUGUUAGUUGCCAUCAUUUAGUUGGGCACUCUAGCGAGACUGCCGGUGACAAACCGGAGGAAGGUGGGGAUGACGUCAUAUCAUCAUGCCCCUUAUGACCUGGGCUACACACGUGCUACAAUGGGAAGUACAACGAGUCGCUAGACCGCGAGGUCAUGCAAAUCUCUUAAAGCUUCUCUCAGUUCGGAUUGCAGGCUGCAACUCGCCUGCAUGAAGCCGGAAUCGCUAGUAAUCGCGGAUCAGCACGCCGCGGUGAAUACGUUCCCGGGCCUGGGUCACCCCCCCCCUCACACCGCGGGAGUUCUAACCCCCGGGGGGGCCUGCCCCCCCUCCCUACGAGAUGAGUUGAUCCCGGCUUCCGGCUGGACCAC
Molecule: ribosomal RNA, 714 nt
Filed under: Enterococcus faecalis
Lineage: Bacteria; Bacillati; Bacillota; Bacilli; Lactobacillales; Enterococcaceae
Description: bacterial SSU rRNA
Rfam family: Bacterial small subunit ribosomal RNA
Source: RNAcentral